Symphalangus syndactylus (siamang) is the source of this 1587-nucleotide long non-coding RNA. RefSeq lists it as uncharacterized. NCBI's taxonomy places the organism in Eukaryota, Metazoa, Chordata, Mammalia, Primates, Hylobatidae. The record is from RefSeq and is a predicted model, not a curated record.
UUGGAGAUGACAGGAAAGGAGGGCGUGGCUUCCGGCGUUUGGCGGGGCCUUUGUCUCUCGCUGGCGCUGGCACAGGAGCUUGGGAUCCGUCUUCUCUUUCGCCUCCUCCACCUUGGGAGCCCCGGGCUAUUCUCUCCCAGCCCCUGUUGCCCCGUGAUCUGUAGGUCCUUGGGGACGCAUAGUUAAGGUGCCAGGACAUCCUGGAAGCUGGGAAAUGUUAGCAUUUCAUCGUAUCAAUGUGAAGAUUUCUUCUGGACCAUGGCUGGAGAAGGAAAGAAGGUGUGUUUUGCCUGAUUCAGGGACUACAGAGAGAACCAAGUUCUGCAGGCCUGUCACCUAAGUCUCAGAUUGUUGCAGUGUCAGGACCAAGGUCAAAUGAAUUAUAUCCAAGUCUACAGUAAGAUGUGGCUGUAUUCUCUUUUGAAGCCAAGACCAUGAUUGGCAAGCUUGCCACUUGGUCAAAUGCUCACCCUCUGAAGAUGUCUUCCUUGGUCUUUGCCUCCAGCUGGGUGUCACAAACUGAACUGGAUUCCAAGGCUUUCAUGAAUGCACUUAUGUUUGCUGUGGCAGCUGCAUUAUGUUGUGGGGGAUGUGCAUGCGGAACCUCCCAUUCUGUCUUCUUGCUUAUGUUACUCUCCUUUAUGUUUCACUUUCUGAAAUGAAUGUCAAGCUGGUGAUUUUCAGAUUAAGAAAUUCUAAACUAAAUUGCUCAAAUUUACACUUUAUGUAAGCUGUCAAUAAAAUUUCUUGUAGGUGCUACAUAUUUAUUAAAAUUUUUGGUUGUAAUUUUAAGCUCACUUCAGGCAGAAAAGAAUCAUUAACAUUUCUAUUCUUUUUUUUAGUCUGUAUCUAAAUGAUGGUAUAUUUUAAUUCCAAAUAUUUACUUUAUACUUCAGUAAUGCUCAUUGUGUUUUGCAAAAUUUAUGUUGUUCUUUUAUUUGAAAAUAGAAGGCUUUUUUAGCUCCUGAAAGCUAUAUUAUAGUCAUAUAGUUUUAUUAUAUUAUGUGGUAAGAAUAGCAGCAACAUAUUGAGAACAUAAUAAAAUUCUCCUGUCUUUUUAAUGAUUAUUUAUUAAAUUCUUCCCAUUAGAGCCUAUUAUUAAUGAUUGUAAUGUAUUUUCUGUAUAAUUUUACUGCAAUUUAUUAAAUGCCAAUGACUUAAAAUGUCUGCUGUUCAUGAGUGCACACACUUGAAAGCUGUAGAUAUCUAAAGAGUUAUUUUUCGGCCCGGCACGGUGGCUCACGCCUGUAAUCCUACCACUUUGGGAGGCCAAGGCGGGUGGAUCACGAGCUCAGGAGAUCAAGAUCAUCCUGGCUAACACGGUGAAACCCCGUCUCUACUAAAUAUACAAAAAAUUAGCCGGGCGUAGUGGCGGGUGCCUGUAUUCCCAGCUACUCGGGAGGCUGAGGCAGGAGAAUGGCGUGAACCCAGUGGGCGGAGCUUGCAGUGAGCUGAGAUCGCACCACUGCACUCCAGCCUGGGCGGCAGGGCGAGACUCCGUCUUAAUAAAAUGAAAGGAGUUAUUUUUCAUUGUAUGUCUAUGUUGUAUUCAGGAUUUUAUGCAUUAAAAUCUCUUCUUAUUUUCAA